This 1632-nucleotide long non-coding RNA is filed under the name Ambystoma mexicanum (axolotl). Its description in RNAcentral is "pri-let-7i". The stretch from base 1125 to 1211 matches the Rfam family "let-7 microRNA precursor family". The record is from RNAcentral. Lineage: Eukaryota; Metazoa; Chordata; Amphibia; Caudata; Ambystomatidae.
ACGACGUGCCAGAAGCUGCUCGGCCACAUCCCCGUCAUUUUCAUGUCCCUGUGCCAUGCUUCGUCCAUGGGAAGCAGGGCAUGGGCUGAGCUGGGCAAACACCAUUUCCUCUCUACACGGUCUGGUGGGUAUAUCAUUGAUGUCUGCAGGACAAGCAAGCUGCCUUCUCGUCGGUCUUAGCAUCUAGAUUUGGCAAACCUGUUUCACCGCAACUGUAUGGAAUGGUAGUUUUUCAUCUGCUCUGACCACUUUAAAUCCAUUUUUCUAGACCGUGUCCUUUCAAUGUUGGUGCUCCAAUUGUGUGUGGUUUCAGCACUGUGUCCAAAUUGAGUGCCCUCUUUUUGUAUGCUGUUGUCUGUCUGUCUGUCUGUUUGCUUGCUUGUGACGUGGUUGGGUCGUCCAUUCAUGUGAUGGAGUGGUUAUAGUCUUGUAUGUCUGCUCAUUCCAUGGUGUAAUAUCCAACUUUUAAAGAACCAACAUGUUGCACAGUUCACCCUGGUUACUGUCCUAAUAAAUGUGUGUGCGUUUUCCCCUUAAAUCUAUGGGCUGGGAAUAGUGCUGUGUCCUGGGGUUCAUGAUAUUUAAUUCCGUUAUGGAUUCCUUAAUUGAAAAUAACAAUGUGUUCAUGCAUGUAUUGCCACUUCCUGAAGCGUUGGUGCUUGCUGUGGGGAUGCCUGGUUGUGAUUUCCUUUUUGUGUACUGGUUAACCACAACGGUAUAGGGAACGUUAUCUCCCGUUGAGGUAUGAUUUGUCUGGUGUGUUCUUGCCUAGAUUAAAAUGUAAUAUUGUUUUCAUGCAUGCUCCCCCUUCUAGUUGGACCUUAAUAAUUCAGGUAGAAUGUUAUUGCCCUUAUGUACCUGCCUCCAGCUGAGACACUGUAUACUGUUAUGCAGAUCACGGUUGUAGGGUUUCCGUGGGGUAAAUUAACAGUGCUUUCAGGAAUGAGUUAUUUGUUCUGGGUGUAGUGGCGUUGCCUUCAUUUAUGUACUGUAUGUAAUGUCGUUUUCUGCUCCUGGUUCAAUUAGUCUUGUGUGCUCCAGGCCUAGGUGUGAUGGCUUCCUUGAGAGACGCAACCAGUUUUCCAUGCACAGCAUGCAUUUUUCCUACUCCGGGAUGUCCUGGUCCUGGCUGAGGUAGUAGUUUGUGCUGUUGGUCGGGUUGUGAUACUGCCCGCUGUGGAGAUAACUGCGCAAGCUACUGCCUUGCCAGUGCUAGUGACCAAGCUGCAGCUGGAGAAGGCAACUGGGGUCACGGCAUCACGAUUGUGUCAGUGGUGACAAAACUGGUUUUGCCACAGUAAAACCUUUUCCCAACCGACGCACUACAGAAGAUUCUAGGAUCAUCAUUGAAACUUAAUAAUCUUUUUUUUUAUUUGUAAAAUGUUUAGUUGAAUUAGUUUAAAGUCGACAGGUUUAUGGCCGUGAAGACCUGCCAUUUGUCUUUUUGGUGCAGCAGUGUGCCAAAACGGAUUUUUUUCUCUUCUUUCUCGAACCAUUUUAUUUUGCAAUUGCUUAUUUAUAUAGAGGCAUAUUAUAAAUAAGGGUGAUAUAUAUUUAAAGUGUUUGUUUUCAUUAAAUACAUCCGUGCAAUAAUGUUUUUUCUUCUUGCAUACUCUUCCUUGUUUGCUUAAA